UCCAGCUCCAAUAGCGUAUAUUAAAGUUGUUGCAGUUAGAACGCUCGUAGUCGGAUUUCGGGGCGGUCCGACCGGUCUGCCGAUGGGUACGCACUGGUCGGCGCGUCCUUCCUUCCGGAGACCGUGCCUACUCUUAACUGAGCGGGUGCGGGAGACGGAUCGUUUACUUUGAAAAAAUCAGAGUGUUUCAAGCAGGCAGCUCGCUCUUGCAUGGAUUAGCAUGGGAUAAUGAAAUAGGACUUUGGUGCUAUUUUGUUGGUUUCGAACACCGAAGUAAUGAUUAACAGGGACAGUCAGGGGCACUCGUAUUCCGCCGAGAGAGGUGAAAUUCUUAGACCAGCGGAAGACGAACUACUGCGAAAGCAUUUGCCAGGGAUGUUUUCACUGAUCAAGAACGAAAGUUAGGGGAUCGAAGAGGAUCAGAUACCCUCGUAGUCUUAACCAUAAACCAUGCCGACUAGGGAUUGGGGGAUGUUCACAUAUCGACUCCCUCAGCACCUUACGGGAAACUAAAGUCUUUGGGUUCCGGGGGGAGUGUGGUCGCAAGGCUGAAACUUAAAGGAAUUGACGGAAGGGCACCACCAGGUGUGGAGCCUGCGGCUUAAUUUGACUCAACACGGGGAAACUUACCAGGUCCAGACAUUGUGAGGAUUGACAGAUUGAGAGCUCUUUCUUGAUUCGAUGGGUGGUGGUGCAUGGCCGUUCUUAGUUGGUGGAGUGAUUUGUCUGGUUAAUUCCGUUAACGAACGAGACCUUAGCCUGCUAAAUAGUGACGCGAACACUUCGUUGGCGGUCCACUUCUUAGAGGGACAACUUGUCUUCAACAAGUGGAAGUUUGAGGCAAUAAC
Molecule: ribosomal RNA, 848 nt
Filed under: uncultured eukaryote
Lineage: Eukaryota
Description: SSU rRNA
Rfam family: Eukaryotic small subunit ribosomal RNA
Source: RNAcentral